This 33-nucleotide small nuclear RNA is filed under the name Cervus elaphus hippelaphus. The record is from RNAcentral. Lineage: Eukaryota; Metazoa; Chordata; Mammalia; Artiodactyla; Cervidae.
GUGCUCGCUUCAGCAGCACAUAUACUAAAAUUG